Molecule: non-coding RNA, 26 nt
Filed under: Rattus norvegicus (Norway rat)
Lineage: Eukaryota; Metazoa; Chordata; Mammalia; Rodentia; Muridae
Source: RNAcentral
UCCUCUAGGUGGCCCCAUUUUCAGGU